GAGAGAGAGAGAGAAUGAGAGAGAAAUUGAAAAAUAGAGAGAGAGAGAGAGAGAGAGAGAGAGAGAGAAACUUUGCGUACCGCACUAGAUACCGUACUGCAAUUGUGCUGUGCUAUUGUACAUAGUAGUGAGUGGGAAAGAGCGAGAGAGACUUUCGCGAUUCAGGAAGGCGGUGAUGGAAGAGGAAUGAAGAGGAACCAAGUUCCAGGGCGGAAGAGGCUAGUUUUCGCGUUUUCCGAUUGCACGCCAGCCAUUCCUCUUAUUUUGCGUUUAAUGGAGGUUUGGUUAACUGCGUGUGAUUUUGCCAUGUGAUUUUGUAGGGAUCCAUUGCAAGAAACGUUGCAUCCUUUUUGCUUCGCGAGAUUUUUAAAAUCCUCGAGGCAGUGGGAAAUUGUACGAAAAUUUAUUUAAUGAUAUUUAAGGGUUUGGAAAGGAAAAAGGGUAAUAUAUUUAGUCCUCUAAUUAAAUCGAGUGUGCAACGAUUCGUGUGCAAAGAUUCCACCGCGUAAUAAACGAUUCUGUACUAGUCUAUACAACUAUUUCUUGAUUAACAGCGUGCGAAUUGUAGCGAAAUUAGAAAAAAGCGACAUUUUGCCCCACGUUCUUUCGGUUCCUCGUGAUCGACGUUCAAUUUCUUUACCGUUUCCAUAGAGAAAGCUUCGACCCUGGUCAGCAUGCAACGAAACGAGGAAAAGCGAAUGAUAGAAUGCUACAGGGAUCUGGAAAUAGGGUUGAUCAUUAAUGAGUCACCGCGUAUGACGGAAAGGCGAGAGUUCUAGAAAACUAAUCGUACCAAAAAAUGAAAAAAUAACACAGAUAAAAUAAGAAGAAACGGAAGCGUGCGUCGCGGCCGUCGAUUAUAAGAUCAUAUAUAGUACAAAGUAAACAUAUAUUAUUGUAAUAACGGUUUAAUUAACUAUAAGGGGAGCGUCGCUGUUUCACAAACCAACUCUGAAGAAUGUUGCGCGAAAUCGUGAUACACGUGGACGAACGUUUGAUUCUCCGGGUAUCGAUCAAGUGCUAUUGUCUUUGGUAGCGUGUGCGCAUCAUCAGGCGUUGAAAGACCAGGAUGAUUGCGAAGGUUACAGUGGAUAGGAGCGUCGAAUUCUCAUGGAAGUUUCCUCGUCCGCCACGAUUUGUCGGACGUGACCACGACACCGCGAUCGAAAUUCUUGAGGUAGAAGAAUGUUGAAAGAGAAGGUAUUCGCGCGAACGAUGCGUCAAAAUUUAUGAAAUAAAACGUGAUUAGAUAUUGUUGAAUGUGAGCAGAACUGGAAAUGUCGUUCGAGAGACUUGGUUCGAUGCUAAGAAUCCUGAAUUACGAAAAAUAUUGAUUCAAUCCAUACAGUAGACAAUAAGAUACUAUUUAUAAAUGCUAAGGAUGAGACAGAAAUUAUGUAAAUGACGAGGUUUUACGAAAUUGAAAUUAUGGACUUGAUUAGAUGAACAAAAACAGAGGCACAUUUGUAACUACUGUUACAAUUGUUAACACGUAUUAAAAAUAAGGAAAAUGUAAAAGCAGGAAUUUUAAGAAAUGGAAAAUUCUGAACCAGCAAUAGUCGAUUUAAUAGUAAACAUAAAAAAACAACCAUCUUAGGAAAGAAACCAGAGAUCGAAGGAUUACAGAGGAUUAGGAACCAACUUUCUAGGCACGAAUUCACAAAGAAUACCUCACAAAGAAGCAGCUACCAAUAUCGAUCUUAAAGUGUCAUGAAAUCCAGUAUAAACCCAGAAUUGUAAAGAAAUGGUGUCGCAUCGUUGAAAUAAAAGAACAUUCGCGUAGUUCGAGAACUCGGAAAUGGAGGCGAUGAGGAAAGUAACCGGAAGCGGAGGAGAGGAAAUCGCAAUUGUAAGAUUGUUGUGGCUCACUCGGGGGCGGUAUAUGUAGGAAAAUUUUAGGGACACGGAUGGGGAUCACGGGAAGGGGGUGAAAGAAGGUGAUAAGGCAACUGUCUGUACGAUAAAUCUGUAAAUACGAGUUUAAUUGCGGUUAUUAAUUAAUUGUACUCGCAAUUGCGAACAAUGAACAUUAUUACUAUUAUUAUUAUUAUUAUUAUUAUCACGAGAAUCAUCAUUGGCAUUACCAUUAUCAUCUUCGUCACUGUCAUUAUUAUUGCUAUUACUAUUAUCAUAAUUAUUAUAAUUAUUUAUAUUACUUUCAUUCCUAUUAUUACUAUUGCGAUUUUUAUCACUGUAACGAAAGACAGAUAUAAUUGAUUAUUAAUAUAAAUGUAUCGUAAACGCAUUCUUUGUUGAACAAGAUGUGUGUGAAAGGGAAAGGGAAGGCGUGAGAAUGAGAGCGAGACUGAGAGAGAUGAGAGAGAGAGAGAGAGAGAGAGAGAGAGAGAGAGAGAGAGAGAAAGAGGUAAUUUGUAAAUGAUGGAAUCGAAGUUUCCCGUAGGAUCGUGUGGAUCGAUCCGUCGGGGGGAUCGACGAGAGGCUAGUUUUUUCUUGUAAGUGACCAGUUUGUUAGCAUCCGCUCGUCGAUCGACCGAUCCAGAGAUCGAGAAUCCAACGAAAUCGAUGCUACCAUAAUUGUUAAACAAACUUGCGAAACGUUCGAUCUUUUCAUUUGCUAUUGAUUAAUGAAUAUAGAGAAAAUAGACGAAAGAAAUAGCAGACAACGCGAAAAAGGGGGGGAAUGGAGAUCGAACGAUCGAGCGGGAAAUUCGAUUGCAGCAUGCGAAAACGUGUAACUAUGUAAUAGAGACACACAAGUUCUGGCGGGUCGGAGGGCGAUUGUAAACUACUGUAAACUACGAUGUUACUACGUUUUACCAAGAGCUUAUUGUAGUCGAGAACCAUUUAAAGAGAAAAAGAGAAAAGUACCGUACACACAGUGAUACAGGGACAUAAGUACACGCAUACACAGACAUAGAAGGAUGGGAAAAAAUGGAGGAAAGAGGUAAAAAAAACCAUAUAUCGAGGCGAGAGUCAAACCAAUCCAAACCAAACCAAAUAAACCAAAACAAACAAGAUAAUGAUAAAAAACACAAAAAAAAAAAAAAUAAAAAAAAUGGUAAUUGAGUGUAGCACGAAAAAGAAACUUCUUUACACUUUUGCACGAGACG
Molecule: long non-coding RNA, 3071 nt
Organism: Bombus impatiens (common eastern bumble bee)
Lineage: Eukaryota; Metazoa; Arthropoda; Insecta; Hymenoptera; Apidae
Exons: 2
Source: RefSeq, a predicted model, not a curated record